Molecule: ribosomal RNA, 441 nt
Filed under: uncultured bacterium
Lineage: Bacteria
Description: partial 16S ribosomal RNA
Rfam family: Bacterial small subunit ribosomal RNA
Source: RNAcentral
CCUACGGGUGGCAGCAGUGGGGAAUAUUGCACAAUGGGGGAAACCCUGAUGCAGCAACGCCGCGUGAGUGAAGAAGUAUUUCGGUAUGUAAAGCUCUAUCAGCAGGGGAGUAGAAAGACGGUACCUGACUUAGAAGCACCGGCUAACUACGUGCCAGCAGCCGCGGUAAUACGUAGGGGGCAAGCUUUAUCCGGGUUUACUGGGUGUAAAGGGAGCGUAGACGGCAGCAUAAGUCUGGUGUGAAAUCCCGGGGCUUAACCCCGGAACUGCUUUGGAAACUGUGCGGCUGGAGUGCAGGAGGGGUAAGCGGAAUUCCUAGUGUAGCGGUGAAAUGCGUAGAUAUUAGGAGGAACACCGGUGGCGAAGGCGGCUUACUAGACUGUAACUGACGUUGAGGCUCGAAAGCGUGGGGAGCAAACAGGAUUAGAUACCCUUGUAGUC